GAUGAACGCUGGCGGCGUGCCUAAUACAUGCAAGUCGAGCGAACAGACAAGGAGCUUGCUCCUCUGACGUUAGCGGCGGACGGGUGAGUAACACGUGGAUAACCUACCUAUAAGACUGGGAUAACUUCGGGAAACCGGAGCUAAUACCGGAUAAUAUAUUGAACCGCAUGGUUCAAUAGUGAAAGACGGUUUUGCUGUCACUUAUAGAUGGAUCCGCGCCGCAUUAGCUAGUUGGUAAGGUAACGGCUUACCAAGGCGACGAUGCGUAGCCGACCUGAGAGGGUGAUCGGCCACACUGGAACUGAGACACGGUCCAGACUCCUACGGGAGGCAGCAGUAGGGAAUCUUCCGCAAUGGGCGAAAGCUUGACGGAGCAACGCCGCGUGAGUGAUGAAGGUCUUCGGAUCGUAAAACUCUGUUAUUAGGGAAGAACAAAUGUGUAAGUAACUAUGCACGUCUUGACGGUACCUAAUCAGAAAGCCACGGCUAACUACGUG
This 497-nucleotide ribosomal RNA is filed under the name uncultured bacterium. RNAcentral's name for it is "partial 16S ribosomal RNA". It matches the Rfam family "Bacterial small subunit ribosomal RNA", at positions 28 to 507 of the family's 1533-position model. The record is from RNAcentral.